AUGAACGCUGGCGGCGUGCCUAACACAUGCAAGUCGAACGGAGAUGCGAUGUGAGCGAGAGGUGCUUGCACUGAUUAAUCUUUUCGUAUCUUAGUGGCGGACGGGUGAGUAACGCGUGGGUAACCUGCCUUAUACCGGGGGAUAACACUUAGAAAUAGGUGCUAAUACCGCAUAAGCGCACGGUGUCGCAUGACACAGUGUGAAAAACUCCGGUGGUAUAAGAUGGACCCGCGUCUGAUUAGCCAGUUGGCAGGGUAACGGCCUACCAAAGCGACGAUCAGUAGCCGGCCUGAGAGGGUGAACGGCCACAUUGGGACUGAGACACGGCCCAAACUCCUACGGGAGGCAGCAGUGGGGAAUAUUGCACAAUGGGGGAAACCCUGAUGCAGCGACGCCGCGUGAGUGAUGAAGUAUUUCGGUAUGUAAAACUCUAUCAGCAGGGAAGAUAAUGACGGUACCUGACUAAGAAGCACCGGCUAAAUACGUG
This 487-nucleotide ribosomal RNA is filed under the name uncultured bacterium. Its description in RNAcentral is "bacterial SSU rRNA". It matches the Rfam family "Bacterial small subunit ribosomal RNA", at positions 29 to 507 of the family's 1533-position model. The record is from RNAcentral.